CUUUCGAAGUGAUCUCAAUGGGACCACUCCACGUGAUUUCGACUUCGGGCGAACGCUCAACCACUAAGAGGAAGACAAAACCUUCCACAAUGUUCAUAAUUGUUGAUGCCACUUGUUUGUGGUGGUUACUUUAAAGAGUUACCGGCCGAACGCGCCCAGUCACCAAACCCAACAUUUACAAUGUCAGAAUUCUUUGGACAAUGGGAAAUGGACGAAAUUUGUGAGAAAUCAGAGAAUUUUCUCAACUUUUGUAAAGCUGUGGACAUGAAGCCAGACGAGAUCGAAUACUACAAAAAGAUGCAAGAGACGAUAGCUUACUCUGGGGAAGGAGACAGCUGGGUUUGUGAGAUUUCCAUGGGACGAAAACAAAAGCAGACACGAAUUUAAACUUGGAAUAAAGAACCCACCAGAAAAAGGAAUUGAUGGGUCAACUUUCUGUAUAGAACCAAAGUUGGAAGCGCCCGCCAGACUCGUGGAAGUGGCUACUACCAUGUUACUUGGGCAUGAUAAGGAGGUGGUCACUAGGACCGAGAGGACCCUGACCGCUCCCAAUAAAAUGAAAUCAAUAGUGACAGACGUAGCAUCUGGAGUCUCCAUGACGUUUUGUGCAACACGGAAGUGACGUUUUACGGAAUGUACAAGCAUACAAAUCGUGAAAUCGAGACGGCAUUACCAUGAAGAUGAUGUUAAGCCAUCAGUUAGAAACCAUUUAAGUGUUCAGUGUGUGUGAUUUCAAAGCAAGAUGUGUAAUAUACAGUAUAUGCACAACCCCUGGCAUGUAACUUUGAAACGUUGAUGAAUAAAUGUUUUUUUAAAAUGAAUAAAUCAAUAGUAAUUCUGUUUGAUUUUUAAUUAUAAGAAAUCACAUAUAGUUAACAUAUGUGUAUACUUCUUCUUUGGAAAACUAGAAAGGGCAUCAUCUACAUUUUGAGGAAAACUCAAGCUGGGAUGUUACUGUUUAGAAAUGGGAAAUAAACAACUGGAAAAUC
Molecule: long non-coding RNA, 989 nt
Organism: Pecten maximus
Lineage: Eukaryota; Metazoa; Mollusca; Bivalvia; Pectinida; Pectinidae
Exons: 5
Source: RefSeq, a predicted model, not a curated record